RNAcentral lists this ribosomal RNA (406 nucleotides) under uncultured bacterium. RNAcentral describes it as "partial 16S ribosomal RNA". It matches the Rfam family "Bacterial small subunit ribosomal RNA", at positions 30 to 526 of the family's 1533-position model. The record is from RNAcentral.
AUUGAACGCUGGCGGCAGGCCUAACACAUGCAAGUCGAACGAGCGGCGGACGGGUGAGUAAUGUCUGGGAAACUGCCUGAUGGAGGGGGAUAACUACUGGAACCGGUGGCUAAUACCGCAUACCAUCAGAUGUGCCCAGAUGGGAUUAGCUAGUUUGUGGGGUAACGGCUCACCAGGGCGACGCUCCCUAGCUGGUCUGAGAGGAUGACCAGCCACACUGGAACUGAGACACGGCCCAGACUCCUACGGGAGGCAGCAGUGGGGAAUAUUGCACAAUGGGCGCAAGCCUGAUGCAGCCAUGCCGCGUGUAUGAAGAAGGCCUUCGGGUUGUAAAGUACUUUCAGUGGGGAGGCGUUACCCGCAGAAGAAGCACCGGCUAACUCCGUGCCAGCCGCCGCGGUAAUAC